RNAcentral lists this small RNA (77 nucleotides) under Xanthomonas oryzae. RNAcentral's name for it is "sX9 sRNA". It matches the Rfam family "Xanthomonas sRNA sX9". The record is from RNAcentral. Lineage: Bacteria; Pseudomonadati; Pseudomonadota; Gammaproteobacteria; Lysobacterales; Lysobacteraceae.
AUGUCCCACGCGUCCACUGCGGUUCCGGGCGCGCGGUCCGCGCCCACCUGACAGCUGCUCGCUCCGUGCUGUUAGCC